RNAcentral lists this transfer RNA (85 nucleotides) under Rickettsiales bacterium. RNAcentral's name for it is "tRNA-Leu". It matches the Rfam family "tRNA". Rfam says of the family: Transfer RNA (tRNA) molecules are approximately 80 nucleotides in length. Their secondary structure includes four short double-helical elements and three loops (D, anti-codon, and T loops). The record is from RNAcentral. Lineage: Bacteria; Pseudomonadati; Pseudomonadota; Alphaproteobacteria; Rickettsiales.
GCGGACGUGGCGGAAUUGGUAGACGCACUAGACUUAGGAUCUAGCGCCGCAAGGUUUGUGGGUUCAAGUCCCUCCGUCCGCACCA